UUAUUUGAAACAGGAUACAACCUCGCACACCGGGUAAACAAAAGGAUAACAAAACCAAGUGGGCCUAAAAGCAGCCACCUUUAAGAAAGCGUUACAGCUCCACCACACCCAACCCAAAAUCAUUUCAACACCCAUCAACCCUUAACCCCUACUGAACCAUUUUAUACUAUUAUAAAAACUAUUAUGCUAGGACUAGUAACAAGAAUUUGCUUUUCUCCUUAAUAUAAACAUAAACCAAAACGGACCAUCCAUUGGCAAUUAACGUUAAUGAACUAAUUAUAAUAACUACCUUACUAGAAAACUCUAUAUUUUACAACGUUAACCUUACACCAGAAUAUUAAAGGAAAGAUUAAAAGAAAAAGAAGGAACUCGGCAAAUUUCAACCCCGCCUGUUUACCAAAAACAUCGCCUCUUGAUUAACAUAAGAGGUCCAGCCUGCCCAGUGACAAUGUUCAACGGCCGCGGUACCCUAACCGUGCAAAGGUAGCAUAAUCACUUGUUCUUUAAAUGGGGACUUGUAUCAAUGGCAUCACGAGGGUUGUACUGUCUCCUUUUUCUAAUCAGUGAAACUGAUCUCCCCGUGAAGAAGCUGGGAUUUUAAU
Molecule: ribosomal RNA, 602 nt
Filed under: Chalcorana megalonesa
Lineage: Eukaryota; Metazoa; Chordata; Amphibia; Anura; Ranidae
Description: Hylarana megalonesa partial 16S ribosomal RNA
Rfam family: Archaeal large subunit ribosomal RNA (bases 347-594)
Source: RNAcentral